UUUUUUUUUUUUAACCCGUUUGCUUAAAAAUUUUAGUCAACAUGACCUUAACAUGACACUUCCAGCAUUGUACUAAAUCCUGUUUUUGUAUGUAUCAAAAUUGUAACAUCUGACUUAAGAAUUGCAUUGUUGGGGCAGAUGUUUUCUUCUAGAUCUACAAUCACCAAGAGAUGAUUUUUAUUUUACAUCAGAAUCAAUGUUAACUUUCUGAAACACUGAAAUCAAAACUUUCUUUGCUUUGACUUUAUUUAAUUAUACUUAAGCUACAGAAGGUAACAUUAAGACUUCUGUAAGUUUAAUAAAUCUGAAAAGAUAGUAUUGGUGUUUGCUGAAGCACAGGCUUAUAGGGAGUUGACUUCCCCUUGUUACUCUCAAGUGCUUUUAAACAUUAAGAAAAGACAAAUGUCAAGAGUUAUGACAAAAGGUUCAAGCCUGUGCAGUCAUUGCCAUUUGCUGAACUGUUCCUAUAUGUGUUAAUGGUGUCUUGAAGAGCUAGGUCAAGCGAAAUCCUCUACACUGUCUUAAUGGGGCAAAGGGCUACAGGUUUGUACUGUAAGAAGACACCAUUUCCUGGUCAUGAGAAGCUGACUUGUGAGUUGCAUAAGUUAUUUCUGUUGUCAGCACACCAUCUAUGUCGCUCCCUGUUUGUUUUAAUGCUUAUAGCCCUAAGUGGAUUAGUUACAUAUUUUAGAAAAAAUGCUUAAUUUGAUAUUUUUUGAAGUAUUUUGUAAUAUUUGAUCCAAUUGCAUUUUUGUAGUAAAACGUUAAACAUUGCCCUUUAUCCGCAUGUGUCUGGCUCCUCACCUCCUGAAGUGACUGAGGCAUAUCUGUUAGAGCAGGCUCAGUAUCCUGGGUUAUCUUUAGGUGCCAUGAAUCUGAACAGGUAACCAAGUUUAAGGAAUUUGAAAAUAGAAAUUCUGCAUAGUUCAAGAAAACCUUUCUCUCCCUCCUGCCUAUUUACAAAGUAUUUAAACUUUAACUGCUCUUACCCACAGGGUUGUGAUAAAUCUGUUAGAAAAAUCUUCCCCAAAGAACCAGCAUGGGUCCUUUUCUUGUUCUAUUUAGUCUUAAGUUAGCUUUAAAGCUUGGGACUGU
RNAcentral lists this long non-coding RNA (1095 nucleotides) under Mus musculus (house mouse). RNAcentral describes it as "long non-coding RNA chr18:7927533-7928628". The record is from RNAcentral. Lineage: Eukaryota; Metazoa; Chordata; Mammalia; Rodentia; Muridae.